GGGCCGAUGGAGAAAUUGGGUAUACUCAUGGCACUUAAAAUGCCACGCUUUUAGCAUGAGGGUUCGAAUCCCUCUCGGCCCA
Molecule: transfer RNA, 82 nt
Filed under: Caudoviricetes sp.
Lineage: Duplodnaviria; Heunggongvirae; Uroviricota; Caudoviricetes
Description: tRNA-Leu
Rfam family: tRNA
About the family: Transfer RNA (tRNA) molecules are approximately 80 nucleotides in length.
Source: RNAcentral